AUCUAAGUAAUUUAAUUUUAAAAUACUGAUUUGUGGGAUCAGUCAUAUAUAUAUAUAAUAUCUUGGAUU
Molecule: transfer RNA, 69 nt
Filed under: Pseudoglomeris beybienkoi
Lineage: Eukaryota; Metazoa; Arthropoda; Insecta; Blattodea; Blaberidae
Description: tRNA-His
Source: RNAcentral